RNAcentral lists this small RNA (38 nucleotides) under Vibrio cholerae O1 biovar El Tor str. N16961. Lineage: Bacteria; Pseudomonadati; Pseudomonadota; Gammaproteobacteria; Vibrionales; Vibrionaceae. The record is from RNAcentral.
AUUAGGAGACGGGUGACGUUGUCACUCAACUCCGCCGA